Molecule: ribosomal RNA, 445 nt
Filed under: Manga melanodonta
Lineage: Eukaryota; Metazoa; Arthropoda; Insecta; Lepidoptera; Noctuidae
Description: partial 16S large subunit ribosomal RNA
Source: RNAcentral
UCUGCCCACUGAUAAAUAUUGAAGGGCUGCAGUAUAUUGACUGUACAAAGGUAGCAUAAUCAUUAGUCAUUUAAUUGGUGACUUGUAUGAAAGAUUGGAUGAAAUAUAAACUGUCUCUUAAUUAUAAAUAGAAUUUAAUUUUUUUAUUAAAAAGUUAAAAUAAUUUAAAAAGACGAGAAGACCCUAUAGAGUUUUAUAAUUAAAAUAAUUAAUAUUAUUUGUUAAAUUAAGGUUGAAAUUAUUUUAUUUAUUAUAUUGGGGUGAUAAAAAAAUAUAUAUAACUUUUUUUAAAUAAAAACAUUUAUAAGUGAUUAAUUGAUCCAAUAUUAUUGAUUAAAAGAAAAAAUUACCUUAGGGAUAACAGCGUAAUUUUUUUUUUUAGUUCAUAUAAUAAAAAGAGUUUGCGACCUCGAUGUUGGAUUAAGAUAAAAUUUAAAUGCAGAAG